UAUAUAUAAGUGUUAGAUAGCACAAGAAGUUUUGAUCUUCUAAGAAUUGGUUAAAUUCCAUUAUAUAUAA
Molecule: transfer RNA, 70 nt
Filed under: Faxonius propinquus
Lineage: Eukaryota; Metazoa; Arthropoda; Malacostraca; Decapoda; Cambaridae
Description: tRNA-Gln
Source: RNAcentral